Molecule: ribosomal RNA, 118 nt
Filed under: Esox lucius (northern pike)
Lineage: Eukaryota; Metazoa; Chordata; Actinopteri; Esociformes; Esocidae
Source: RNAcentral
GCUUACGGCCACACCUCCCUGAGCACGGCCCGAUCUCGUCUGAUCUCGGAGCUAAGCAGGGUCGGGCCCGGUUAGUACUUGGAUGGGAGACCGCCUGGAAUACCAGGUGCUGUAAGCA